Molecule: long non-coding RNA, 526 nt
Organism: Physella acuta
Lineage: Eukaryota; Metazoa; Mollusca; Gastropoda; Physidae
Source: RefSeq, a predicted model, not a curated record
UUUCAGUCAAACAAAACCAUAUAAUGAUGCAGGCAAAUUUAUAUGCCUUACUUUAUUGGAUGUGCCAGUUCAAUUGUCUACAGCAGAUUAUCCAAGUGAUUUAUUCAGUGUUUUAAAAAAAGGAUUUAAUAUUAUACAAAGAUUGGAUGAAUCCAGUAAAGUAGACAAGGAACUCAUUUUUCUCUAUCUUAGUGUGUUUGGAUUAGAAGUUGAUUCAAUAACUGAAAAUAUGAUUUGUUUCUCCAAAAAUAACCCUUUGCUGGACAAAAUUUCACAAGGCAAGGACACGCAAGAGAUGAAAUUUCAACUCAUUAGCUUAAAGAAGGCAGCCGCUAACUUGCAGACACUAAUCAUCAACAAAAUAAAAGAAUGGAUAAAGAAGAUGAAAAAAUCAUUAAUAACUGCCAUCCAAAAGAAAAAAGUUUGCAAGAAUAAUCUGGAAGGCAUAAAGUGUCAAAUUCAAAAUUGUCAACACAAUAUCAAUCCCAGUUUAAAUGAUGAAUUAGCAAUAUUAAAACUUCUUAAU